RNAcentral lists this long non-coding RNA (908 nucleotides) under Helianthus annuus (common sunflower). Its description in RNAcentral is "hypothetical non coding rna". The record is from RNAcentral. Lineage: Eukaryota; Viridiplantae; Streptophyta; Magnoliopsida; Asterales; Asteraceae.
GUGUUUUGAUCGACCAGGAGGGUGCUCCAAGGAGCAAAACCCUAGUUCACACCAAAUGACCAAAUUGAAGCUCGAAUCAAGACUUAAAUCAAUGCAUGAACACAAAUUCGUAAUCACCUAAGUGUGGGGAUCGAAAGUUUGUCGCCUAACGAGCUAGGUGGAGGCUUGAGAAAGAAGCGGUCAAACGAAUCAAGCACGAGAAGAAAAAGCGUAUUCGGAUGCGAGGUAAGUAUAGCUUACACUAGUCUUAGAUUGUGUAAUAUUCUCUUAGCGUAUAAAUAACGAAUGAGAUAACUAAACAAUUGAAAUACGAUGUUCCGUCGUGUAGGCGUACGGAACUAGAUAAUCAAAGAUGAAAGAAACCAUAAUAAUGGUAAAAAAGGAAGUAAAUCGAUAAUUCGGUCAUAUUAUGACGAAAGUGGUAAUAAACGGUUUAUAAGUAAAAUGAUCGUACGGUGUUAAACGGAGCGGGUCAUGUAGAUGAGAUGAUAAUAAAUAUCAUCUCGCAAAGAUAAACGGUCAAUUCGGCCAAACGGGUCAAAAGGUGUAGACAUCACCUUUUGACAAUAUUGACUAAUGAUCUUUUGUCGAGUUAUAUGCUUACAGGAAUAGAAAUCCAAUGGAUACUCGCAUCGCUCUUAUUUAGCGAUUAUAAAGCAAGGUACAUUUUGGAUGCUGGAAGACGAUCAAGCUCAUCGAAGAACCGAACACGAUAAAGAUACAUGCUUCCGCACAUUGCCUCGUCGUAAAUUUUAAACGACAAAUUCGACCACUUAUGUUGAAUAACUUAUGAUUUGUAAAAGUUUUAAUAAACUCGUAUUUUUAUAGUAUGUGUAGUCUUAAUUACACAUCUAAUUGUUGGUAUUUACAUAUAAAACCGUUAAAUAGUAACUAGGGUGUUACAGAGU